CAGCCGCACGGUAAUACGUAGGGUGCAAGCGUUAAUCGGAAUUACUGGGCGUAAAGCGUGCGCAGGCGGUUAUAUAAGACAGAUGUGAAAUCCCCGGGCUCAACCUGGGAACUGCAUUUGUGACUGUAUAGCUAGAGUACGGCAGAGGGGGAUGGAAUUCCGCGUGUAGCAGUGAAAUGCGUAGAUAUGCGGAGGAACACCGAUGGCGAAGGCAAUCCCCUGGGCCUGUACUGACGCUCAUGCACGAAAGCGUGGGGAGCAAACAGGAUUAGAUACCCGCGUAGUCCCUGUCUCUUAUACA
This 301-nucleotide ribosomal RNA is filed under the name uncultured bacterium. Its description in RNAcentral is "partial 16S ribosomal RNA". It matches the Rfam family "Bacterial small subunit ribosomal RNA", at positions 512 to 808 of the family's 1533-position model. The record is from RNAcentral.